Molecule: unclassified non-coding RNA, 285 nt
Filed under: plant metagenome
Description: partial contains small subunit ribosomal RNA, internal transcribed spacer 1, and 5.8S ribosomal RNA
Rfam family: Eukaryotic small subunit ribosomal RNA (bases 1-54)
Source: RNAcentral
GGAAGUAAAAAUCGUAACAAGGUUUCCGUAGGUGAACCUGCGGAAGGAUCAUUAUUGUAUAACCGAGGUGCGAGGGCUGUCGCUGACCCGAAAGGUCGUGCACGCCCGAGUGCCCUCACACACAGCCAUCUCACCCCUAUGUGCACCACCGCGUGGGUCCCCCUUUGGCUUGUUCGGAGGGGGGCUUACGUUUUCACACUAACUUUGUAUGCAGUGUAGAAUGUAUUUUUUGUUUUUGCGAUCACGCAAACAAUACAACUUUCAACAACGGAUCUCUUGGCUCUC